Molecule: non-coding RNA, 101 nt
Organism: Paramuricea clavata
Lineage: Eukaryota; Metazoa; Cnidaria; Anthozoa; Malacalcyonacea; Plexauridae
Source: the annotation of a GenBank genome assembly
AUACAAAACAAGUGAAACUCCAAAAAUCGAUAACAUUUUUAUUUAUCAAUGAAAAAUAAAAAUGUCAUCGAUUUUUGGAGUUUCAUUUGUUUUGUAAACAC